GGCCCUACGGGACGCAGCAGUGGGGAAUAUUGCACAAUGGGGGAAACCCUGAUGCAGCGACGCCGCGUGAGUGAAGAAGUAUCUCGGUACAUAAAGCUCUAUCAGCAGGGAAGAAAAUGACGGUACCUGACUAAGAAGCCCCGGCUAACUACGUGCCAGCAGCCGCGGUAAUACGUAGGGGGCGAGCGUUAUCCGGAUUUACUGGGUGUAAAGGGAGCGUAGACGGCUGGUCAAGUCUGAAGUGAAAGCCCGGGGCUUAACCCCGGAACGGCUUUGGAAACUGAGCAGCUAGAGUGCUGGAGAGG
RNAcentral lists this ribosomal RNA (305 nucleotides) under uncultured bacterium. RNAcentral's name for it is "bacterial SSU rRNA". It matches the Rfam family "Bacterial small subunit ribosomal RNA", at positions 335 to 657 of the family's 1533-position model. The record is from RNAcentral.